RNAcentral lists this ribosomal RNA (253 nucleotides) under uncultured bacterium. RNAcentral describes it as "partial 16S ribosomal RNA". It matches the Rfam family "Bacterial small subunit ribosomal RNA", at positions 524 to 776 of the family's 1533-position model. The record is from RNAcentral.
GACGAACCGUGCUAACGUUGUUCGGAUUCAUUGGGCGUAAAGGGUGUGUAGGUGGCGCCGUAAGUCGGGUGUGAAAUUUCGGAGCUUAACUCCGAAACUGCAUUCGAUACUGCGGUGCUUGAGGACUGGAGAGGAGACUGGAAUUCAUGGUGUAGCAGUGAAAUGCGUAGAGAUCAUGAGGAAGACCAGUGGCGAAGGCGGGUCUCUGGACAGUUCCUGACGCUGAGGCACGAAGGUCAGGGGAGCAAACGGG